GCCUCUUAUGAUGUCUGCACCUCUGAUGUUCAGUCCAGAAUUUUUUGACGUCGAACAAUAUUUUUCUGCUAGGAGCCUCAUUUCAUCUAGAUCUUUCAAUAUUGAUGACUUUCAUGGGUUUGGAAUGGUCCCUUUGGCAUAUCUGUAAGUUAAUCCAUCUUCUAUAUUGUUAUCAAUAUAUAUACUUCCUUGCAAUUUCUGUUCUGUGCAUCGCUUACCUAUGGCCGAUAGAGUGAGUGAGAGGUACUCACUUCUUAAAAGUCUGGCCAAAUGGUAAUCCCAAAAAAGAAACGACGGUUUAAGCCAUUGUCUGCGCUCUGCCCAUUUAUGCCAUUAAGGUCCAACGCAAUUUUCUCUAAAUCUUAGUGCCUUUUUAAGAAUUCCACUUGAGGCAUAUAUUCUGGAAAGAAAAUCCGUCAUAGAAUCUGUAAAGAGAACACUAAGAAAGAGCCUUAAGACAAAGCUGAGCUGAAACGAUCUACCAAAGAAAUUACUUGUUGUGGAAGAGCCUUAACAAGCAUAUAUCUGUAACAGAAAACCCAUCGUUGAGUUUGAAAAGGCAACACUAGGAAAAAGCCUUAAGACGAGCUGAGCUGAAACAAUAUAGCUAAAGAAGUUGCUUGUUGUGGUGAGCCUCAACCGCUUUAACAGCAAGCAAUAAACCACAAUUAUUUUGAUUUUGGAGCCAAGAGUGGCUCGAGGGUCAUUGGAGAAACUUGACCUUGAAAAAUAAAAGGUUUUUGAUUUCUCACUCUGUCAAUUCAAUGAAUUCAGAUUUAACCACAAGACCAAUGCUGAGGAUGUACAUUUUACCUUGGUGUCUUCUGACGUCGAGUCCGAUGAUAGUACUUCUCAACUAAAUGAUGUGUAUCCAUAUGACGACAAGUCCAAAUGCUGGAAUUCUCCUCUGGAUAAAGUAGGAUCAGAUUCUCUUGUAAACGAGGCCAACAAUGCAGAUGAUACUGACUCAGACUCUUCUGAUCUCAGAGAUGAUCCUACAACGCUUGAGAUGAUUAUGGUGAAGAAUGUCAAAGCUGGCAAUGAGGCGAUACAGUAAAGCAAGAGUAUCAUUAUGGAGAAAGCUGGAGUAAUAUGGUGUUGAUAAUGAAAACAUUGAAUAUUUUGAGAUAUCAUAAGAUGGGGAACCACAAACUGAACUACUGAUAUCAAUAUACAUAAUGUUGCUAUCAGAGGAUGCAUUUAAUCACUUUGAUCUAACUACAUCAGUUUCUGGGAAUUUUAGUGGUGUUAUGUUGUAUCAAAAGGGAAAGAGCAUCUGGAUUAAAGAUUCAAAAAUUAGGAAGGAUGUUUUGCUUACCAAAAAUGUUCAUAAAGCUCGUGUCACUUGCAAAUAUGCGUGAAGCUUUAUAUGGUUCAAGUCAUUUAGAAGAAGACCUUCAGACGUUGUGUGGCAUACAAGAUAAUAGGAAGUUAUAUCAUUCUUUGAUGUUGCAUGUAAGCGAGAGGACGAUCCUAAAGAAACUCAGAUCUUAUGCUGUUGUGGCUGGUCAGUUAUCAACUAGUGAAAGGCAGUCCUCUUUGAGUAAGAACACUUGAACAAGUCUUGCACGAAUCCAAUCUACUAUAAUGGUGAAGCUACCAAGUUUUGCAAGAAUCCAUUGAAGUAGUGAGGUGGCAAUUCAUUGAUUUAUAGACCUUUUUGUAAGUUUGGCAGCACAAUUUUGGUUCAAACAUACUUAUUUAAAUAGCUUGUUCGUACCAAAACAUAUAUGUUUAUUGCUUCAUUGUACAAACACUUUACAAACAAUUGUACAUAUAUUAAACUAUAUAUAUUAAAGCGUUCACCAUUUCUUUCCA
Cucumis melo (muskmelon) is the source of this 1818-nucleotide RNA transcript. RefSeq lists it as uncharacterized. The record is from RefSeq and is a predicted model, not a curated record. The transcript has 4 exons. Lineage: Eukaryota; Viridiplantae; Streptophyta; Magnoliopsida; Cucurbitales; Cucurbitaceae.